This 3181-nucleotide unclassified non-coding RNA is filed under the name Daphnia pulicaria. Its description in RNAcentral is "gustatory and pheromone receptor 39a-like, transcript variant X2". The record is from RNAcentral. Lineage: Eukaryota; Metazoa; Arthropoda; Branchiopoda; Diplostraca; Daphniidae.
CAUGGGCGUGUUCCUGUUGUUAGGCCUUGCAUUUGUUUGACACCUUUCAAUUUGACGUGCCCCAUGGACACUACCGUUCAUGUCAUUUAGCCCGUCCUAGAUUUCUCACGAUCCUUUUAAGCCCUCCGGAAGUCAAACAAAAGAUGGCGAAUAAAAUUCAAGAUGUUGAAAUGUCAUCCCGAUUGCGCAAUCAGCGAAUCCGCAAAGCCAACGGACUGGUGACCAACAUAACACUGGACGAAACUCUACGGCCGCUGUGGAAACUGACCCACUACUCGGGGAUUUUGCUGGACUGGUGUUUUCCCAUUUCCAAGAACAAUCCUCGUCGUAUUUGUAAAUUCCUGCGAUACUUUUCAAUCGCCCUUUCGUUCUCUCUGCUCGUGGCCGUCACCUCGUUCCAACUGAUGCAGUUGCUUUUGGGAAUCGAGAAAGCGCCAAACAUUCACGCCAUUAUACCGAACAUGUUGUGGUUUAUCCCAAUUGUGUUGGGUAUCGUCAUCCAGGUGCAUUGCCUUCGUCUGCGGAGGAAAUUUCUCGGCUUUUUCAAAGAUUGGCGGCAAUUAGAAAUCGAAAUCGUCCACCUAAAUCCAAAUUGCAUCAUGUGCGAGUCAAGGAAAAUGCAUUUGAUGAUGUACGCCAUCUACGCUGUCAUAACUAUAGCUUCCGUUAUCGCAUUGGGAAUAGAUAUUUCUAAUAACCCGGAAUCAUCGUAUCUCAUCUCCACGUAUCCCGCCGUUCGUCAAGUAGUGCCUUUGAUCGUCAUUGGCUCAGUUCAUUUAACGUCGAUUGUGCUGACCUGGAUCUUUGCGUCACUGGGUGAUUUCAUUCCUUCGUUUACUUAUUAUCACACUUCUCUCGCCGUCAGCUGUUUAGAAAAUGACGUCAGGGCUCUUUUUGAUAAGGGAAAAGACGCUGAUGAUUUGUUUAUUCGAUCUAGACUUUCCUUAUUAGCCGGCAAAUUAGAUCCUUUGAAAAAAUCCCUUUCGACUGAACUGUCAACUUGGCAACUUGACGUUUCGAUUCUUCGAAUCUGGACACGUUUCGAAAAAAUUGGUAAAAUGGUCAGUCGAGCCGAUUUUCUUUUCGGUUCUUUCAUGGUCUACAGUCAAGCUGGGGCUAUAUUUUUCAUAACAGCGCUUCUUUAUUCGGUACUUUACAAUUUGGGAGAUGCCUUGAGGAUGCGAUCCGUUGGCCCAGUUCUCUCCUACAGUCUCAAUUUGUUAGCUAUCCUUUUUCGUUUCUUUUCUACUAUGCUAAUAUCUUCGCAGCUCCAUCGGUCGGUCGGUAAGUUUCGAACAGCUUUGAAUGAUUUGCUGAGCCAAAAUUGGAAUCGAAUGAACAAAGGAGAUCGUGACUUGCUUCGAUCUUUUCUGUGGAGACUUCAGGCUGAUCCGUUGGUUGCCCAUCCUCUAGGCGUCUAUAAGGUGACACCGUCCGUUUUGCUAAGUGUUUUCGGCGUUAUAAUCAGUUAUGUCAUUGUAUUACUUCAGUCGAAAUAGCUUCGACCCCCUUUGUGCGUUUUUGUAGGCAAUUUAGAAUUCAUUUUCAAACUUGGCAAAUUGUUGCUUGAUGUUUUAUUUAGUUUCGUGACACUUUCACUAGUUUUAUUUGAAGCCAUUAACGUAAUGCGUUAUCGAGAAGACACUUGCCAAGUCAUCGAUGCUAGUCAGGUGUGUGAGUUGUUUGCGUUCUACUCACGUUUGUACUGCACGCACAUUUAAUUUGAGCAUUCAAAUGAGUUGAUAGGGUACGACAGGAAAUUAAAUGGGUCGAAAAAAUGGGAGUAAUGCACUUAGCAUUAUUGUGACUUUUUAUUUUUUAGGCCGUUAUUUAGUCAAUCUAUAAUAUUGAACGUGUAUAAGAGCGACAGUCGCGCGAAACAUGUUGCGACAGUUAGUUGACAAGGUGCUGGACUCUUUCAAAGACGAGACCAUCAACUUCGAAAAAUGUUACCGUCCCGUUUUGAUCGCCAUGAACGUGUGUGGCAUUCCAUUGGGAAUGAAGAACACAGACGAACCAACAACUUUACCCGUUUGGAUGGUUUACAUCUUCGGCUGGAUUCUAUACUGCUUAAAUAUCGUAUCCGGAUUGAUGUUAAUUUCGAUAGAGAAAAGAGAAAAAAGUCCAUUCUUUACAAAUAAUCGCACUACGGCUUGGCAAUGGAAUUAUGGAAUAACUACGUACAACAGUGUCUUUUCCUCGAUAGCAGCUCACACGGUCCUCCUGGCCAUUACGACAGUUCGCUGGAAACAUCUUGCUCGCAUUUUCCAUCGCAUGGAUCGAAUUAAUCAAUUCGGAUUGAAAGAUUUUGAAGCCUUUCGCGCCAUUUUCCGAUCAGGACUCGUUUUCGCCAUCAUUAGCUAUCUGGCAAUUGGUUUUCAAUCGAUUUCCGCCUUCUUUAUGGCUGAUGUCGAUGUGUGGAAAAUGGUGAUUUACUCGUUUCAACGGGGUUUCAUUAUCGUUAUUUUGCUGGCCGGCGUGUUAUUUUUCUGCUUCGGACGGAUGGCCUCUACUAUGCUUCAGAUUCUUGGCCAAGAAAUGACGAAAUUCAUUUCAAGUGAUGACCAGCAAUCUUUUGAAAACAUCGAUGUUGUCAUAGCUAAAUGGAAUCGCCACUAUUUCAUGGCCAUUGAUUUUGUCCAUCAGUUUAACCGCUGCUUUGGUUGUUUGUUACUUGUCCUAAUUGCACCGAUUUUCAUUCGAGUAAUCAGCACUUCAUUCUUUCUGAUGAUUGAAUUAAAAGACGGCCAGUGGACGGCGGCCGUUACUCUGAAUUUGAUUGUAUUGCUAGUUCAUUUUGUGGCUUUCAUAUUUGCGGCAAAUAUUCCACACAGAAUACGUCAAGAGGCUAUUGAUUUAACCAAGAAGCUGCGCAGAUUUCAACUUAAAGAUUUUACCCAUCAGAAUCAGGUUAAUGUGCUCAUGAUGGAAAUAUCAAAUUCUUUGCCGAAAAUCACUGCAGCGGGAUUCUUCGACAUCGAUCUCCAGCUUAUUCCAACGCUUAUUGGAACAACGCUGACGUAUCUCAUAAUUCUUUUCCAAUUUCAAACGUCAGAGAACACUUGAAUUUCUUUCUUGAUUGCAUUAUCCGAUAAACACCGGAUGAACCGCUGAGAAUCGAUGCUUCUUUUCUUGUUCAAUUUGCUUAAAGUCAUGAUAAAAUUUUUCUAGUUAGUCUUAA